GACGAACGCUGGCGGCGCGCCUAACACAUGCAAGUCGAACGAGCGAGAGAGAGCUUGCUUUCUCGAGCGAGUGGCGAACGGGUGAGUAACGCGUGAGGAACCUGCCUCAAAGAGGGGGACAACAGUUGGAAACGACUGCUAAUACCGCAUAAGCCCACGACCCGGCAUCGGGUCGAGGGAAAAGGAGCAAUCCGCGUUGAGAUGGCCUCGCGUCCGAUUAGCUAGUUGGUGAGGUAACGGCCCACCAAGGCGACGAUCGGUAGCCGGACUGAGAGGUUGAACGGCCACAUUGGGACUGAGACACGGCCCAGACUCCUACGGGAGGCAGCAGUGGGGAAUAUUGCACAAUGGGGGAAACCCUGAUGCAGCGACGCCGCGUGGAGGAAGAAGGUCGUCGGAUUGUAAACUCCUGUUGUUGAGGAAGAUAAUGACGGUACUCAACAAGGAAGAGACGGCUAACUACGUG
RNAcentral lists this ribosomal RNA (466 nucleotides) under uncultured bacterium. RNAcentral's name for it is "partial 16S ribosomal RNA". It matches the Rfam family "Bacterial small subunit ribosomal RNA", at positions 28 to 507 of the family's 1533-position model. The record is from RNAcentral.